GGCAAUUGCGGGGUGCUACCAUGCAGUCGACGAUGACGAAGAGCUUGCUCUUUUGAUUAGUGGCGCACGGGUGAGUAUACCAUAGAUAAUGUACCCCUUAGUUCGGGAUAGCCACUGGAAACGGUGAUUAAUACCGGAUACUCCUUCUCAUUAUAAGAUGAGUCGGGAAAGUUUUUUCGCUAAGGGAUCAGUCUAUGUCCUAUCAGCUAGUUGGUGAGGUAAUGGCUCACCAAGGCUAUGACGGGUAUCUGGUUUGAGAGGAUGAUCAGACACACUGGAACUGAGACACGGUCCAGACUCCUACGGGAGGCAGCAGUGAGGAAUAUUGCACAAUGGAGGAAACUCUGAUGCAGCAACGCCGCGUGGAGGAUGACGCAUUUCGGUGUGUAAACUCCUUUUAUUAGGGAAGAUAAUGACGGUACCUAAUGAAUAAGCACCGGCUAACUCCGUGCCAGCAGCCGCGGUAAUACGGAGGGUGCAAGCGUUACUCGGAAUCACUGGGCGUAAAGGGUGCGUAGGCUGGCUUCUAAGUCAGAUGUGAAAUCCAAUGGCUCAACCAUUGAACUGCAUUUGAAACUGGGAGCCUAGAGUUCAGAAGGGGCAGAUGGAAUUAGUGGUGUAGGGGUAAAAUCCGUAGAUAUCACUAGGAAUAUCAAAAGCGUAGGCGAUCUGCUGGGAUGAUACUGACGCUGAGGCACGAAAGCGUGAGGAGCAAACAGGAUUAGAUACCCUGGUAGUCCACGCCCUAACGAUGAAUGCUAGUCGUCGGGAAGCUCGUCUUUUCGGUGACGCACUUAACAGAUUAAGCAUUCCGCCUGGGGAGUACGGUCGCAAGAUUAAAACUCAAAGGAAUAGACGGGGACCCGCACAAGUGGUGGAGCAUGUGGUUUAAUUCGAAGAUACACGAAGAACCCUUACCUGGCCUUGACAUCCCAAGAACUUUCCAGAGAUGGGAUUGGUGCUAGCUUGCUAGAACUUGGUGACAGGUGCUGCACGGCUGUCGUCAGCUCGUGUCGUGAGAUGUUGGGUUAGUCCCGCAACGAGCGCACCCUCGUCUUUAGUGCACAGUCGGCUGAGCACUCUAAGAGACUGCUCGUAGGAGGAGAGGUGAAGGACGACGUCAGUCAUCAUGGGCCUACGGCCAGGCUUACACGUGCUACAUGCGUAAGGAGGUCAUACCUGAGGUGAACCAAUCUCUUAAGGGG
RNAcentral lists this ribosomal RNA (1205 nucleotides) under uncultured bacterium. RNAcentral describes it as "bacterial SSU rRNA". It matches the Rfam family "Bacterial small subunit ribosomal RNA", at positions 32 to 1283 of the family's 1533-position model. The record is from RNAcentral.